UACGUAGGGACCAAGCGUUGUUCGGAUUUACUGGGCGUAAAGGGCGCGUAGGCGGCAAUUCAAGUCAUCUGUGAAAUCUCCGGGCUUAACUCGGAAAGGUCAACUGAUACUGUGCGACUAGAGUGCAGAAGGGGCAACUGGAAUUCUCGGUGUAGCGGUGAAAUGCGUAGAUAUCGAGAGGAACACCUGCGGCGAAGGCGGGUUGCUGGGCUGACACUGACGCUGAGGCGCGAAAGCCAGGGGAGCGAACGGG
RNAcentral lists this ribosomal RNA (253 nucleotides) under uncultured bacterium. RNAcentral's name for it is "partial 16S ribosomal RNA". It matches the Rfam family "Bacterial small subunit ribosomal RNA", at positions 524 to 776 of the family's 1533-position model. The record is from RNAcentral.